Molecule: ribosomal RNA, 389 nt
Filed under: Dinophyceae sp.
Lineage: Eukaryota; Dinophyceae
Description: partial small subunit ribosomal RNA
Rfam family: Eukaryotic small subunit ribosomal RNA
Source: RNAcentral
AUUCCAGCUCCAAUAGCGUAUAUUAAAGUUGUUGCGGUUAAAAAGCUCGUAGUUGGAUUUCUGCUGAGGACGACUGGUCCGCCCCCUGGGUGAGCAUCUGGUUCGGCCUGGGCAUCUUCUUGGGGAACGUAUCUGCACUUGAUUGUGUGGUGCGGUAUCCAGGACUUUUACUUUGAGGAAAUUAGAGUGUUUCAAGCAGGCCCGCGCCUUGAAUACAUUAGCAUGGAAUAAUAAGAUAGGACCUCGGUUCUAUUUUGUUGGUUUCUAGAGCUGAGGUAAUGAUUAACAGGGACAGUCAGGGGCACUCGUAUUCCGCCGAGAGAGGUGAAAUUCUCAGACCAGCGGAAGACGAACUACUGCGAAAGCAUUUACCAAGGAUGUUUUCAUCA